This 486-nucleotide ribosomal RNA is filed under the name uncultured bacterium. RNAcentral describes it as "partial 16S ribosomal RNA". It matches the Rfam family "Bacterial small subunit ribosomal RNA", at positions 30 to 507 of the family's 1533-position model. The record is from RNAcentral.
AUUGAACGCUGGCGACAUGCCUUACACAUGCAAGUCGAACGGCAGCACGGGUGCUUGCACCUGGUGGCGAGUGGCGAACGGGUGAGUAAUACAUCGGAACAUGUCCUGUAGUGGGGGAUAGCCCGGCGAAAGCCGGAUUAAUACCGCAUACGAUCUACGGAUGAAAGCGGGGGACCUUCGGGCCUCGCGCUAUAGGGUUGGCCGAUGGCUGAUUAGCUAGUUGGUGGGGUAAAGGCCUACCAAGGCGACGAUCAGUAGCUGGUCUGAGAGGACGACCAGUCACACUGGGACUGAGACACGGCCAAGACUCCUACGGGAGGCAGCAGUGGGGAAUUUUGGACAAUGGGCGAAAGCCUGAUCCAGCAAUGCCGCGUGUGUGAAGAAGGCCUUCGGGUUGUAAAGCACUUUUGUCCGGAAAGAAAUCCUUGGCCCUAAUACGGUCGGGGGAUGACGGUACCGGAAGAAUAAGCACCGGCUAACUACGUG